AACGACUGCUAAUACCGGAUUAUGCCGAAAGGUGAAAGAUUUAUUGCGCUGGAGAUGAGCUCGCGUCUGAUUAGCUAGUUGGUAGGGUAAAGGCCUACCAAGGCGUCGAUCAGUAGCUGGUCUGAGAGGAUGAUCAGCCACACUGGGACUGAGACACAGCCCAGACUCCUACGGGAGGCAGCAGUGGGGAAUUUUCCGCAAUGGGCGAAAGCCUGACGGAGCAAGACCGCGUGGGGGAGGAAGGCUCUAGGGUUGUAAACCCCUUUUCUUUGGGAAGAAGAUCUGACGGUACCAAAGGAAUCAGCCUCGGCUAACUCCGUGCCAGCAGCCGCGGUAAUACGGAGGAGGCAAGCGUUAUCCGGAAUGAUUGGGCGUAAAGCGUCCGUAGAUGGCCAUGUAAGUCUGCUGUCAAAACCCAGGGCUCAACUCUGGUCAGGCAGUGGAAACUACAAAGCUAGAGUUUGGUAGGGGCAAAGGGAAUUCCCGGUGUAGCGGUGAAAUGCGUAGAUAUCGGGAAGAACAUCGGUGGCGAAAGCGCUUUGCUAGACCAAAACUGACAUUGAGGGACGAAAGCUAGGGGAGCG
This 584-nucleotide ribosomal RNA is filed under the name uncultured bacterium. Its description in RNAcentral is "bacterial SSU rRNA". It matches the Rfam family "Bacterial small subunit ribosomal RNA", at positions 155 to 770 of the family's 1533-position model. The record is from RNAcentral.